Molecule: ribosomal RNA, 432 nt
Filed under: uncultured bacterium
Lineage: Bacteria
Description: bacterial SSU rRNA
Rfam family: Bacterial small subunit ribosomal RNA
Source: RNAcentral
AACGAACGCUGGCGGCAGGCCUAACACAUGCAAGUCGAGCGAGACCUUCGGGUCUAGCGGCGGACGGGUUAGUAACGCGUGGGAACGUGCCCUUCUCUGCGGAAUAGCCACUGGAAACGGUGAGUAAUACCGCAUACGCCCUUCGGGGGAAAGAUUUAUCGGAGAAGGAUCGGCCCGCGUUAGAUUAGAUAGUUGGUGGGUAACGGCCUACCAAGUCUACGAUCUAUAGCUGGUUUUAGAGGAUGAUCAGCAACACUGGGACUGAGACACGGCCCAGACUCCUACGGGAGGCAGCAGUGGGGAAUCUUAGACAAUGGGCGCAAGCCUGAUCUAGCCAUGCCGCGUGUGUGAUGAAGGUCUUAGGAUCGUAUAGCACUUUCGCCAGGGAUGAUAAUGACAGUACCUGGUAAAGAAACCCCGGCUAACUCCGUG